AUGGCCGGCGGCGUCGUGAUGAACACGGCCGGUGGAAAGCCAUACCCUGGCAAGCUCACUCUGUACGUCGUCUUCACCUGCGUCGUCGCCUCCACGGGCGGCCUCAUCUUCGGGUAUGACAUCGGCAUCUCAGGCGGCGUCACUUCCAUGGACCCCUUCCUCUUGAAGUUCUUCCCAGAGGUGUAUUGGAAGAAACAGGAAGCAAGCAAGAGCAACCAGUACUGCCGCUACGACAACCAGCUGCUACAGGCCUUCACCUCCUCGCUCUACCUUGCCGCCCUCAUUGCCUCCUUCUUUGCCUCCACCGUCACGCGUGUCCUGGGCCGCAGGUGGUCCAUGUUUGCCGGCGGCUUCGCCUUUCUCGUGGGAGCGGGCCUGAACGGCGCCGCGCAGAACAUUGCCAUGCUCAUCGUUGGACGCACAUUGCUCGGAGUCGGCAUCGGGUUCGCCAAUCAGUCUGUGCCGUUGUACAUGUCGGAGAUGGCACCGGCGCGUCUUCGUGGCAUGCUCGGCACUGGUUUCAACCUCAUGAUCACCACCGGCAUCCUGACAGCAGAGCUCAUCAACUACGGUACCAACAAGAUCAAAGGCGGCCAUGGUUGGCGCUUCAGCCUGGGGCUCGCGGCUGUGCCAGCGGCGGUCAUCACGCUCGGCUCACUCUUCCUCCCUGACACCCCCAACUCACUGAUGGAGCGAGGCCACCCAGAUGCGUCCCGUCGGAUGCUACGCCAUAUUCGCGGCACCGACGACAUCGGUGAUGAGUACGCGGACCUGGUGGCAGCAAGGGAGGUGUCAAAGCUAGUGCAACAUCCAUGGCGUAACAUUGUGUUGCGCAAGUACCGUGCGCAGCUCACCAUGGCCGUGCUCAUCCCCUUCUUCCAGCAGCUCUCUGGCAUCAACGUCAUCAACUUCUACGCACCCGUGCUUUUUGAGACGCUCGGUUUUAAAGGGGACGCGUCGCUCGUGUCGUCAGUUAUGACAGGCGGCGUCCUCGUGCUUGGCUCGCUGGUGACAAUGCUCAUCGUCGACAGGCUGGGGCGACGGAAGUUGUUCCUGCAGGGUGGCGCGCAGAUGCUAGUGUCUCAGCUCGCGGUGGGGACGCUGAUCGCGGCAAGGUUCGGGACGAGCGGCGUUGGAGAGAUGCCCAAAGGCUACGCGGCGGCGGUGGUGCUCUUCAUCUGCUUGUACGUGGCGGGCUUUGUGUGGUCGUGGGGUGCGCUGGGGUGGCUGGUGCCGAGCGAGAUCUUCCCGCUGGAGAUCCGGUCGGCGGCGCAGAGCAUCAAUGUAUCGGUGAACAUGCUCUUCACCUUCGUCAUCGCGCAGGCCUUCCUCACGAUGCUCUGCCACAUGAAAUUCGGGCUCUUCUACUUCUUCGCCGGAUGGGGGGUGGUCAUGACCGUCUUCGUCGCGCUCUUCCUGCCGGAGACCAAGAACGUCCCCAUCGAGGAGAUGGUGCUUGUCUGGAAGGGACACUGGUUCUGGAGCAGGUUUGUGGGAGAUGAUGACAUCCACGUUCAAGAGCCUUGA
This 1527-nucleotide ribosomal RNA is filed under the name Triticum aestivum (bread wheat). Its description in RNAcentral is "partial small subunit ribosomal RNA". Lineage: Eukaryota; Viridiplantae; Streptophyta; Magnoliopsida; Poales; Poaceae. The record is from RNAcentral.